RNAcentral lists this non-coding RNA (28 nucleotides) under Prorocentrum micans. The record is from RNAcentral. Lineage: Eukaryota; Dinophyceae; Prorocentrales; Prorocentraceae.
UUUUUUUUUUUUUUUUUUUUUUUUUUCA